GACGAACGCUGGCGGCGUGCUUAACACAUGCAAGUCGAACGGAAAGGCCCUGCUUUUGUGGGGUGCUCGAGUGGCGAACGGGUGAGUAACACGUGAGUAACCUGCCCUUGACUUUGGGAUAACUUCAGGAAACUGGGGCUAAUACCGGAUAGGAGCUCCUGCUGCAGGGGGGGGGUUGGAAAGUUUCGGCGGUUGGGGAUGGACUCGCGGCUUAUCAGCUUGUUGGUGGGGUAGUGGCUUACCAAGGCUUUGACGGGUAGCCGGCCUGAGAGGGUGACCGGCCACAUUGGGCCUGCGAUACGGCCCAGACUCCUACGGGGGGCAGCAGUGGGGAAUCUUGCACAAUGGGCGGAAGCCUGAUGCAGCAACGCCGCGUGCGGGAUGCCGGCCUUCGGGUUGUAAACCGCUUUCGCCUGUGACGAAGCGUGAGUGACGGUAAUGGGUAAAGAAGCACCGGCUAACUACGUG
This 468-nucleotide ribosomal RNA is filed under the name uncultured bacterium. RNAcentral's name for it is "partial 16S ribosomal RNA". It matches the Rfam family "Bacterial small subunit ribosomal RNA", at positions 28 to 507 of the family's 1533-position model. The record is from RNAcentral.